UACGGAGGGGGCUAGCGUUGUUCGGAAUUACUGGGCGUAAAGCGCACGUAGGCGGCUUUGUAAGUUAGAGGUGAAAGCCCGGGGCUCAACCCCGGAAUUGCCUUUAAGACUGCAUCGCUAGAAUUGUGGAGAGGUGAGUGGAAUUCCGAGUGUAGAGGUGAAAUUCGUAGAUAUUCGCAAGAACACCAGUGGCGAAGGCGGCUCACUGGCUCGGUACUGACGCUGAGGUGCGAAAGCGUGGGGAGCAAACGGG
RNAcentral lists this ribosomal RNA (253 nucleotides) under uncultured bacterium. RNAcentral describes it as "partial 16S ribosomal RNA". It matches the Rfam family "Bacterial small subunit ribosomal RNA", at positions 524 to 776 of the family's 1533-position model. The record is from RNAcentral.